AUCUGGGCGGCGGAAUUCAGGAUGACGGGCGCGUCUUCGCGACGCUGUUCGUCGUUUGAUAUUUCCGUCGCCGACUCAUCCGCAGACGUCGCGACCUGUUCGCGGUCGGUCCCUGCUCGGAGGAGUCGCGUUCGAGUUUGUUGCGUGUCGCGUUUACGCGCGUCACGCGGCAAAGACGCGAAUCUCUGGCUGGCCGUCGGACAGUACGCUCAACGGUGUCCGGUGUCGUCGUCUUGUACGCGCGCGCACCGGUACCGGUCGGCGACGAAUUCUUCGGGCCUCUUUCCGACCCGUCUUGAAACACGGACCAAGGAGUCUAACAUGCGCGCGAGUCGCGGGGUGUCGAGCGUACCACGGUGCGUUCGUUACGUUGCGAAACCCGUACAUGUCGAAGGCGUAAUGAAAGUAAAUGGGGAAGAUGGUGUUCCGAGUACACGUUCCGCGGUCGCUGGUACCGCGGCCGGGCAUCCGCAUUCCCAGGACGUCUCAAUGGCCCGUCGCGGAUGCCGGGCGAUCGUCUUUCGAGGCGGCCGUCGGUCUGCGACGAACCGA
Molecule: ribosomal RNA, 552 nt
Filed under: Parlatoreopsis chinensis
Lineage: Eukaryota; Metazoa; Arthropoda; Insecta; Hemiptera; Diaspididae
Description: eukaryotic LSU rRNA
Source: RNAcentral